UACAGAGGGUGCAAGCGUUGUUCGGAAUUACUGGGCGUAAAGCGUGCGCAGGCGGUCUGUUAAGACAGAUGUGAAAUCCCCGGGCUUAACCUGGGAACUGCAUUUGUGACUGGCAGGCUAGAGUAUGGCAGAGGGGGGUAGAAUUCCACGUGUAGCAGUGAAAUGCGUAGAGAUGUGGAGGAAUACCGAUGGCGAAGGCAGCCCCCUGGGCCAAUACUGACGCUCAUGCACGAAAGCGUGGGGAGCAAACAGG
RNAcentral lists this ribosomal RNA (253 nucleotides) under uncultured bacterium. RNAcentral describes it as "partial 16S ribosomal RNA". It matches the Rfam family "Bacterial small subunit ribosomal RNA", at positions 524 to 776 of the family's 1533-position model. The record is from RNAcentral.